Molecule: small nuclear RNA, 307 nt
Filed under: Echinops telfairi (small Madagascar hedgehog)
Lineage: Eukaryota; Metazoa; Chordata; Mammalia; Afrosoricida; Tenrecidae
Description: 7SK RNA (ENSETEG00000024660.1)
Rfam family: 7SK RNA
About the family: 7SK was discovered as an abundant small nuclear RNA in the mid-70s but a possible function has only recently been suggested.
Source: RNAcentral
GGAUGUGAGGGCCAUCUGGCUGUGACCAACAUCUAUCACCGCACUGGUCGCCAGGGUUGAUUUGGCUGAUCUGGCUGGCUGGGCAGGUGUCUCCUUCCUCCCUCACUGUUCCAUGUGCGUCCCUCCCAAAGCUGCAUGCUCGGUUGCAGAGGAUGACCUUCCCCGAUAGAAGGAGGACAGUCCUUCAAGGGUAUAUGAGUAGCUGUGCUCCCCGACUGGAACCUCCAAACAAGUUUCAAGGUCGUCAUUUUAAGAGACCCUCAGGUAUCCAAGGUCAGUAGCUCAGUGCCCUGUAACAGUCUGGGUU